RNAcentral lists this ribosomal RNA (127 nucleotides) under Pteropus alecto (black flying fox). The record is from RNAcentral. Lineage: Eukaryota; Metazoa; Chordata; Mammalia; Chiroptera; Pteropodidae.
GCCUAUUAAAAAAAAAUGUAAAACACAAAUAUAAACCCGAACCUGUCUGAUCUCGGAAGCUAAGCAGCGUCGGGCCUGGUUAGUACUUGGAUGGGAGACCAACUAGGAAGACCAGGUGCUGUAGGCA